RNAcentral lists this transfer RNA (73 nucleotides) under Halorubellus litoreus. RNAcentral describes it as "tRNA-Pro". It matches the Rfam family "tRNA". From Rfam's summary of the family: Transfer RNA (tRNA) molecules are approximately 80 nucleotides in length. Their secondary structure includes four short double-helical elements and three loops (D, anti-codon, and T loops). The record is from RNAcentral. RNAcentral also lists the same sequence under 1 other name. Lineage: Archaea; Methanobacteriati; Methanobacteriota; Halobacteria; Halobacteriales; Halorubellaceae.
GGGCUGGUGGGUUAGCCUGGUAUACUUCGGGCCCUGGGAGCCUGUGACGCCAGUUCAAAUCUGGCCCAGCCCA